Nicotiana tabacum (common tobacco) is the source of this 365-nucleotide non-coding RNA. The record is from RefSeq and is a predicted model, not a curated record. NCBI's taxonomy places the organism in Eukaryota, Viridiplantae, Streptophyta, Magnoliopsida, Solanales, Solanaceae.
CAAUUUGUGGAGGUUAAUUAUAACCCCGUAAUAAAACCGCCACAAAUAGACUGUUUUUUUGUAGUGUGAAUUCCUUCUUUCUGGUGAAGAAUGAGGUUGUGCAAAUCUACUGGACUCUGUGUGAGUGAUAUGGAGUUGCUGUGAGAGAAAGUCCACAGUAUGGCAAUUUAUGAGUAUCAAAUGGGCGGAUGCGCAAGGGAAUUGGAGCAGACGGGAUGUAGCAGAAAAAGAGAAAGAAAGAAUUGAAGAAGUGAAGAAAUCUGUUGUUGCAGAAUUUGUUAUAGAGCUAUUCAUAAAUACAUUCUUGUAAUUAAUUAUAGAGAACUUCUAUUUAUUAUAGUUCAAAUUGUCUAUGUUGAAUGACA